Molecule: long non-coding RNA, 545 nt
Filed under: Erythranthe guttata (spotted monkey flower)
Lineage: Eukaryota; Viridiplantae; Streptophyta; Magnoliopsida; Lamiales; Phrymaceae
Description: long non-coding RNA (EGUT_LNC000489)
Source: RNAcentral
CGGCAGCAGAAUUUGCUUCCCUUCGUUUCAACGAGCGAGCUGAAGUUCUAGCCAAUUCCGAUGACCACCGCUGAUGUAAACAAUCAAGAACCACCACCACUGGAAAUCUAACUUAUUAAGGUUUCGAACGGUACCUUCGGAUCAUCGAUGCUCCAACUUUAAGACCUCCGUUUAAUUGAUUUACGGAAAAGGCAAAACUCUGAAAUUGAAAUUCUGGACAGCUCGUCUUCUUUGUCGGAUUCCAGCCACCACCGCCGGCGACUGCUGCUGGAGACCACCACCACUAUAAAUCCGACUUUUUUUUCUUCAAUUAACUUCCAUGAUUUCAGCCAAGGAUCGAGAGAGAGAGGAAGAGAGAGAUGAUGAGAGAGAGCGAGAGAGAGAAAGGAGUUUGGAGAAGAGGAGUGAAGUGUAGGAAGAAUCGGAUGAAGAUGAAGAGGAAGUCUGACUCAUCUUUUAUUCUACGUGUCUCUCUCUCUAAUUUUCUUGGUUAAUAACAUUCAAUUAUCCGAUUACACAAGCCCCUCAAUUGCUUAAUGGCCAAG